GAUGAACGCUGGCGGCGUGCCUAAUACAUUCAAGUCGAGCGAACGGACGAGAAGCUUGCUUCUCUGAUGUUAGCGGCGGACGGGUGAGUAACACGUGGAUAACCUACCUAUAAGACUGGGAUAACUUCGGGAAACCGUAGCUAAUACCGGAUAAUAUUUUGAACCGCAUGGUUCAAAAGUGAAAGACGGUCUUGCUGUCACUUAUAGAUGGAUCCGCGCUGCAUUAGCUAGUUGGUAAGGUAACGGCUUACCAAGGCAACGAUGCAUAGCCGACCUGAGAGGGUGAUCGGCCACACUGGAACUGAGACACGGUCCAGACUCCUACGGGAGGCAGCAGUAGGGAAUCUUCCGCAAUGGGCGAAAGCCUGACGGAGCAACGCCGCGUGAGUGAUGAAGGUCUUCGGACCGUAAAACUCUGUUAUUAGGGAAGAACAUAUGUGUAAGUAACUGUGCACAUCUUGACGGUACCUAAUCAGAAAGCCACGGCUAACUACGUG
RNAcentral lists this ribosomal RNA (497 nucleotides) under uncultured bacterium. RNAcentral's name for it is "partial 16S ribosomal RNA". It matches the Rfam family "Bacterial small subunit ribosomal RNA", at positions 28 to 507 of the family's 1533-position model. The record is from RNAcentral.